AACGCGAAGAACCUUACCUGGGCUUGAACCGCACAGGACCAUCUUUGGAAACAGAGACUUCCCGCAAGGGACCUGUGUAGAGGUGCUGCAUGGCUGUCGUCAGCUCGUGCCGUGAGGUGUUGGGUUAAGUCCCGCAACGAGCGCAACCCUUACUCUUAGUUGCCACCCGCAAGGGGGAACUCUAAGAGGACUGCUCCGGAUAACGGAGAGGAAGGUGGGGAUGAGGUCAAGUCAGCAUGGCCUUUAUGUCCAGGGCUACACACGUGUUACAAUGCGCGCCACAAAGCGUUGCAAACCCGCGAGGGGGAGCUAAUCGCAAAAAAGCGCGCUCAGUUCGGAUUGCAGUCUGCAACUCGACUGCAUGAAGCCGGAAUCGCUAGUAAUGGCGCAUCAGAACGGCGCCGUGAAUACGUUCCCGGGCCUUGUA
This 427-nucleotide ribosomal RNA is filed under the name uncultured Acidobacteriota bacterium. Its description in RNAcentral is "bacterial SSU rRNA". It matches the Rfam family "Bacterial small subunit ribosomal RNA", at positions 958 to 1385 of the family's 1533-position model. Lineage: Bacteria; Pseudomonadati; Acidobacteriota. The record is from RNAcentral.